AGAAUAUAAGAACCCGUCUCUUAAUUUUUAAUUAAAAAAAACUAAGAACCGGCUCUUAAAUAAGAGUUUUAAGAACCGGUUCUUAACUUUUUUAGUUAAAAGUUAAGAGAAGGGUUCUUAUAUUCC
Non-coding RNA from Brassica napus (rape), 126 nucleotides. The record is from Rfam. Lineage: Eukaryota; Viridiplantae; Streptophyta; Magnoliopsida; Brassicales; Brassicaceae.